RNAcentral lists this ribosomal RNA (392 nucleotides) under uncultured bacterium. RNAcentral's name for it is "bacterial SSU rRNA". It matches the Rfam family "Bacterial small subunit ribosomal RNA", at positions 97 to 520 of the family's 1533-position model. The record is from RNAcentral.
GGCAGACGGGAGAGUAACACGUGGGAACGUACCCUUCGGUUCGGAAUAACCCAGGGAAACUUGGGCUAAUACCGGAUACGUCCGUAAGGAGAAAGAUUUAUCGCCGAGGGAUCGGCCGCGUCGAUUAGCUAGUUGGUGAGGUAAUGGCUCACCAAGGCGACGAUCGGUAGCUGGUCUGAGAGGAUGAUCAGCCUCACUGGGCACUGAGCACACGGUCCAAACUCCAUACGGGAGGCAGCAGUGGGGAAUAUUGGACAAUGGGCGCAAGCCUGAUCCAGCCAUGCCGCGUGGGUGAUGAAGGGCUUAGGGUUGUAAAGCCCUUUCGGCGGGGAAGAUUAUGCACGGUACCCGCAGAAGGAAAGCCCCGGUUUACUUCGUGCCAGCGGCCGGGG